GGAGUCAGGUUCCUUUGGAUUAAUAGGGAAUCCUGUGAAAAUCAGGAGCUAUUCCCGUAGCUGUAAGUCCCGUUAGAGGUUUUGUCAUCAUGUCACUGGCAGGAAUGCCGGGAAGGCGUCAAAAACCGGGACGAGCCAGAAGACCUGCCUGACU
This 154-nucleotide non-coding RNA is filed under the name bovine gut metagenome. The record is from RNAcentral.